Molecule: ribosomal RNA, 549 nt
Filed under: uncultured Glomeromycotina
Lineage: Eukaryota; Fungi; Glomeromycota
Description: SSU rRNA
Rfam family: Eukaryotic small subunit ribosomal RNA
Source: RNAcentral
UUGGAGGGCAAGUCUGGUGCCAGCAGCCGCGGUAAUCCCAGCUCCAAUAGCGUAUAUUAAAGUUGUUGCAGUUAAAAAGCUCGUAGUUGAAUUUCGGGAUCAAUACGUCGGUCGUGCCUCCGGUAUGUACUGGCGUCGUUGGUUUCUCCUUUCUGAGGAGCCAUGAUGCCAUUAAUUUGGUGUCGUGGGGAAUCAGGACUGUUACUUUGAAAAAAUUAGGGUGUUUAAAGCAGGCACGCGCUUGAAUACAUUAGCAUGGAAUAAUGAAAUAGGACGUUCGAUUCUAUUUUGUUGGUUUCUAGGGUCAACGUAAUGAUUAAUAGGGAUAGUUGGGGGCAUUAGUAUUCAAUUGUCAGAGGUGAAAUUCUUGGAUUUAUUGAAGACUAACUACUGCGAAAGCAUUUGCCAAGGAUGUUUUCAUUAAUCAAGAACGAAAGUUAGGGGAUCGAAGACGAUCAGAUACCGUCGUAGUCUUAACCAUAAACUAUGCCGACUAGGGAUCGGAUGAUGUUAAUUUUUUAAUGACUCAUUCGGCGCCUUACGGGAAAC